Molecule: ribosomal RNA, 402 nt
Filed under: Verrucomicrobiota bacterium
Lineage: Bacteria; Pseudomonadati; Verrucomicrobiota
Description: Verrucomicrobia bacterium partial 16S ribosomal RNA
Rfam family: Bacterial small subunit ribosomal RNA
Source: RNAcentral
UGGGGAAUUUUGCACAAUGGGGGAAACCCUGAUGCAGCGACGCCGCGUGAUUUAGAAGGCCUUCGGGUUGUAAAAAUCUUUUGUAUGGGAAGAAAAUGACAGUACCAUACGAAUAAGGACCGGCUAAUUACGUGCCAGCAGCCGCGGUAAUACGUAAGGUCCGAGCGUUGUCCGGAAUCAUUGGGCGUAAAGGGUACGUAGGCGGAUAAGCAAGUUAGAAGUGAAAUCCUAUAGCUCAACUAUAGUAAGCUUUUAAAACUGCUCAUCUUGAGGUAUGGAAGGGAAAGUGGAAUUCCUAGUGUAGCGGUGAAAUGCGCAGAUAUUAGGAGGAAUACCGGUGGCGAAGGCGACUUUCUGGCCAUAUACUGACGCUGAGGCGCGAAAGCGUGGGGAGCAAACAGG